GGGUACCCUGAGCUGGGAAGAUGCUGGUCAGAGCGUUGAGCGGGCCUUCCUUGACACGGAAGAGGUCAGAGGUUCAAAUCCUCUAGCGCCCA
This 92-nucleotide transfer RNA is filed under the name Actinomycetota bacterium. RNAcentral describes it as "Actinobacteria bacterium tRNA-Val". The stretch from base 31 to 92 matches the Rfam family "tRNA". From Rfam's summary of the family: Transfer RNA (tRNA) molecules are approximately 80 nucleotides in length. Their secondary structure includes four short double-helical elements and three loops (D, anti-codon, and T loops). Further hydrogen bonds mediate the characteristic L-shaped molecular structure. tRNAs have two regions of fundamental functional importance: the anti-codon, which is responsible for specific mRNA codon recognition, and the 3' end, to which the tRNAs corresponding amino acid is attached (by aminoacyl-tRNA synthetases). tRNAs cope with the degeneracy of the genetic code in two manners: having more than one tRNA (with a specific anti-codon) for a particular amino acid; and 'wobble' base-pairing, i.e. permitting non-standard base-pairing at the 3rd anti-codon position. The record is from RNAcentral. Lineage: Bacteria; Bacillati; Actinomycetota.